GACGAACGCUGGCGGCGUGCUUAACACAUGCAAGUCGAACGGAAAGGCCCUGCUUUUGUGGGGUGCUCGAGUGGCGAACGGGUGAGUAACACGUGAGUAACCUGCCCUUGACUUUGGGAUAACUUCAGGAAACUGGGGCUAAUACCGGAUAGGAGCUCCUGCUGCAUGGUGGGGGUUGGAAAGUUUCGGCGGUUGGGGAUGGACUCGCGGCUUAUCAGCUUGUUGGUGGGGUAGUGGCUUACCAAGGCUUUGACGGGUAGCCGGCCUGAGAGGGUGACCGGCAACAUUGGGAUGGAGAUACGGCCCAGACUCAGACGGGAGGAAGAAGGGGGGAAUAUUGCACAAGGGGCGGAAGCCUGAUGCAGCAACGCCGCGUGCGGGAGGACGGCCUUCGGGUUGUAAACCGCUUUCGCCUGUGACGAAGCGUGAGUGACGGUAAGGGGUAAAGAAGCACCGGCUAACUACGUG
This 468-nucleotide ribosomal RNA is filed under the name uncultured bacterium. RNAcentral describes it as "partial 16S ribosomal RNA". It matches the Rfam family "Bacterial small subunit ribosomal RNA", at positions 28 to 507 of the family's 1533-position model. The record is from RNAcentral.